AUGGGAGUGAAGCCAUCUAGGCUCAGCACUCUCACCCAGGGAGCUUGUCCUGGCAGGAGGUCACCAGUGGGCUGUAGAGACCCUUUCUUUACAGCCUUUGCCUGGCAAAGUACUGCAGAUGCAAGGAACAACAACUGUUCUCCUCGUCUGCAUGGACACAAAGCAGGCAGAAAAACAAAUCAGGAUGCAGAAAGCUCGUUGCUGGGCUCCAGAGGUGGACUGAGCCAAAGGGGACCCCGCAUUUGUGACUUGCUAUCCCUCUCUGUGGGUUUUUCCUGCACAUCAGCCCUGAUGGAGGAUGGCCCCUUCCAAAGCAACGCCACCCUUCAGGGGCUGAAGCCGGUUGGAAGAACCAGCAACUCUGGUGGUUUCUGCUGAGCAGAUCCAAGGUCCGUGGACCUCACCGGCCAUCCACAACGAUUUACAAGAGCAGAUGCUGACGUGAACAAGAGGGGUUGCAAAAAUUCUUCAUGGUGAUGUGGGGACAGAACUGUGCUCAAAUCCACAGGGCCUACACUUUGUGACUCCUCGAGCGCACUCGUUCCCAAGUGCAGCCAGCCCGGAGGCAAUAGGAAGUGGCCGUUUUGUGCAAUUAUUUCUUCACAAUGUAUGUAUUGUGGGAGAGGGUAUGAAGAGGUGUGAUUCCUUGAAGAAGCUCUCAUGUGAAUAGCAAUUGGCAGUAAUUAAAUAACUCCAGACUGUUUCUUGGGGGAAAAUUCAAAUAAUAAGCUGACAGAAAUAUGAGUACAACAAUUUGCUUCCUCUCCCACAGCCACAGCUCUUCUCUAAUGUUCUGGCAAUGCUGGCUGCAGAGUGAUGUGUGAACUUCCAGUUGUUCGGUAGGUUUUGUCUGAAAACCUCACAAAAUCUGGCUGUUUUCUGAAACCAACUUGUGUCUUAAGCACCUUAAUUUACCAGCUCUGCUCAGCUCUGUGGCUUGAUUGCAUCUGUCAAGUGUAGAGCAAAAGUGUCAAAGGAAUAGUAAAAAAAAAAGCCAGAAAUAAUGCUUGACUCUAAGGGAGGGCUGUAGACGAGUAAGAGAUAGAGAUGAAUGAGACUAAACUAAAAUAAUUUCAUACUAUUUGAGAACUGCCAGCUUCCAUCUGCAAAUCUUACAGAAUUUCUUUUUUUUUUUCUUUCUGAAAGCCCCGGAAAAUACAAGACCUAAAUGUCUCAUUCUUGCAAGAAAAACAAUG
This 1196-nucleotide long non-coding RNA is filed under the name Anser brachyrhynchus (Pink-footed goose). Its description in RNAcentral is "lncRNA (ENSABRG00000013938.1)". Lineage: Eukaryota; Metazoa; Chordata; Aves; Anseriformes; Anatidae. The record is from RNAcentral.